CGCGGGAUAGAGUAAUUGGUAACUCGUCAGUCUCAUAAUCUGAUUGCUGUGGGUUCGACUACGACUCCCGCCG
RNAcentral lists this transfer RNA (73 nucleotides) under Marchantia polymorpha subsp. ruderalis. It matches the Rfam family "tRNA". From Rfam's summary of the family: Transfer RNA (tRNA) molecules are approximately 80 nucleotides in length. Their secondary structure includes four short double-helical elements and three loops (D, anti-codon, and T loops). The record is from Rfam by way of RNAcentral. Lineage: Eukaryota; Viridiplantae; Streptophyta; Marchantiopsida; Marchantiales; Marchantiaceae.